CCAGGAUCGCACCCUGGGCCAAAGGCAGGCCCCAAACCGCUGCGCCACCCAGGGAUCCCAUCACAAGUUACAGAAAUGGAUAUGAAACUGUACCUGCUGACCCUGGAUCCCAUACCCAGCCUGGCCAGACAGGCAGGGGAAUUUAUACUGAACGUUGUAAGCUUAAAAAAGGAACCAAUAGGGAUUAUUAAGUGGGGAAGUAAUAUAAUUAGAAAAGUGUAUUUAAAAUAAUGAGUUUGAUGAUGAUAUGCAGCUGGGAUUAAAGAAGAGGAAAAUUGAAGUCAGAUAGAUCAUUUAGAAGGGAAGCACAAUUAUCCAGAGGCUUAUGUGGGGCAGAUGAAGGGGCAGGUGUAGCAAAAAAUACAGGAUUUGGAAACAUUUUAAAGGAGAAAUAGAUAUAAAGUUGUUUGCCUAACAUCUCAAGACUAUUGAAAGAUUAACAUAGUCAAAGACUAUUCUAGAUUCUGAGAUUGGGUGACUGGAAAAAUUGAGUUGACCUUGAAAGGAUGGUGAGAGCAUGGCUGGUAUGGGAUGUACAUUUGGGAGCUUUGUGCAUGGGUUGUUAGUGGAGUCGUGAAUAGGGAGGAGUACUUCCAGAGAGGCCAUGGACAGGGAAGGCAGAGGGCCAGAGGUUAUGCUUUGGGAAGACUCCUCAUUCAGAGAGUAGAGGGAGGAGGAGCCAAGAUGCCAACGCAUGACAAAGAGUCGAAGAAGAGUUUGGAUGAAGACCAGUCAGUGAAGGACCAAAGAAGCUAAGUGUAUGUAUGGUAUUGAAAUCAAGUUAUUCCAAAGAUCUUUAUAUUCCCUGGAGUAUUUAAAAUUAAGGGCAAUAUAGACAAUAUUCAAUUUAGCAUGUUUGGUUGAAUAAUAUCAUUAAUAAUAGGGCUGUUUUUAAACUGAAAUUUUUGCAAUUAAGCCAAGGAUGUGACAUGUCCCACAAUAAAGAAGACUAGACACGGUUCCACAAUUAAGAUAAAAAGGCCAGUAAUUAUAGAACAACCAAAUAGGUCUUCAGACAAAGAAAUGUCCUGCUCAGAAAGAAGGUGUUUGGAGCCAGGCCACACAUUUACUCAUCAUUCCUGAAAGUAUGGAUACUUUUAGAACAUCCUGUCCUCAGCCAGCAACCUUGACUUCCAGCUCCUUCUCUAAAAUUGAGGCUCUGGGGAUAGCUACCCUGAAAAUACUGGCUUUUCUCCCAGACUGUGGCAAGUAAAUAUUGCUGGGUUUCUUUUCUUUGAAAAUUGUCAGAUUUUAUUUCUUUUAAGGUCUUAAAACUCAUGUGGCUGUUGCUGGCAUUUAAGCUCCCUCUACAUUGGUGUGUUGCAUUUUACAAAUGUUUAGGCAAGAGCUCACCAAAGUUAAAAAUGAGCUAAGCGGAUAUGCCAAGCACAUGAAACAUCAUAAACAAGAAAAGUGAAAACCUCACAAAACGAAGCUGUUCGGCAAGGAAUCUCACGACGUAGAGCAUGGUCAGCCCCAAAGCCUCCACACUCCAAAGCAAGUACUCUGUGAUAUGGUGACUAUAAUAAGAAAUAUAUGUCUGGUCUUCUUCCCCAUUACUGACAGGGCUCUUAAAACUCCUGGAAUCUCCUAAGUUUUAAGAGUCGUAAGGAUUUCUUAAUAUUUAUAACAAACUCCUUUUAACCACACUUGAGUUUAUGUUAAUGAGGUGACUUUUGGAAAUGAGGACUGAGAAGAAAGGGCCUUGGAGAUUGAGUUCCAUCACCAAAGGCCAAUGAUUUCACCAAUCAUGCCUCUGUACUGAAGCCUUCAUAAAACCCUUCAGAGGCUUGAAGGGCUUCUGGGUUGGUAGAGAGUAGGGAGAGUGACUGCUUGAGAAGGGGCAUGGGAGUGCUCUGCCCUUACCUUGGCCUACUUAGCUCUUCCAUCUAGAUGUUCCUGAGUUCUAUCCUUUGAUGAUCAAUUGGAAAUCUAAUAAAUACAAUGUUUCUCCGAAUUCUGUGAACCGUUGUAGCAAAUUAACCAAACCUAAGGAAGUGGUCACUUGAGCCUUUCAUCUAUUACCAGUGAGUCAGCUAAUGUCUGAAGUGUGUGUGUGUGUGUGUGUGUGUGUGUGUGUGUGUGUGUGUGUAUGGAGGGUGCCAGUCUUGUAGGACUGAGCUCUUAACCUGGGGGGUUUGAUGUUGUGUCCAGAUAGAUGAUGUCACUAUUGAACUGAAUUGUGGGACAUCCAUCUGGUAUCCGAGCAUCACUUGGCAGUAUGGGACUCACCACCAUUGGAACUGGGGCAGAACUCAGACACAAAGGCCAUUUUUACAGACAAUUAUUUCCCAACCCACAAUAAAUUGGAAGAAGUUGUGUGUGUGUGGCUUUGGGUGACCGUGGGCAGUGUGGAGAAAGCCAUUAGAGACAGAGGCAGGAAGAAGACAGAUACAGCAGGGAGAAGCAGAACGGACAGCAUGAUAAUGAAGAGAAAACAAGAAACCCAAACAUGCAGAUGCAAGAACUAAAAUGGGUAAGAUUGUGCAGAGUCCUUUAUUGUCAGAGUAAACAGGGCUGGUUGUCAAAUAUGACCUCUGUCACCCCGGAUGGUAUCACGGCACAGGGCAAAACAAGUUCAGUGGGGACUCUCAGCCAUAACAAAUCAUUUAGAUUAUAUGCCGUAUUUUUCCUGGCAAGAAAUAUAUGCCAUAUUUAAGAAAGCUACCCAUCUAAAAUAGCAUUUUCCAAAAAUGUUUUGAGGACUAUAAAAGUAGAAUUUGGUGACUUCAUAUUUUUAAUUAGCUUACUGUAACCCCACUAAUGCUGGAUAAAUGAAGUUUUACUGUCAUAUAAUUUUCCUGCUGUGUAUAAUGAUGCCACACUGAAUAAUUUGAAAUAGAUGCAAAUUGAAGUUUUCGAACCUCAACAUGAAGAUUUUUUAAAAUUAAAU
This is a long non-coding RNA of Canis lupus familiaris (dog), 2893 nucleotides long. RefSeq lists it as uncharacterized. NCBI's taxonomy places the organism in Eukaryota, Metazoa, Chordata, Mammalia, Carnivora, Canidae. The transcript has 3 exons. The record is from RefSeq and is a predicted model, not a curated record.